UUUCCUUCCUUUCUUGCUCCUGCCAUACACACGCAAACUCAGAACAUCACCAGGAGCAACAGAUGGCUUAGGCAUAAUUAAAUCAUUCAACUCUUCUCGGCCCCUCUCAUUUAUUUGAGUCUCCGGAACCAGGUUGAUAACUUCUGAGUCAGGUGAAGUUCCAGCAUCUGAGCACCUGUUACGGCCUCUCUCAUUUAUUUGAGUCUCCGGAACCAGGUUGAUAACUUCUGAGUCAGGUGAAGUUCCAGCAUCUGAGCACCUGUUAUCAAUUGAUGUCCCCUCCUCAGAAAAUGAGUCAUUGUGAUAGUCCAAGAGUUUGUCCGCUGGAUUUUGACUGAUCUUCUUUCCAGAUUGGCAUAUGUCUGAUACAGAAA
RNAcentral lists this long non-coding RNA (374 nucleotides) under Nicotiana benthamiana. Its description in RNAcentral is "long non-coding RNA (NBEN_LNC022300)". Lineage: Eukaryota; Viridiplantae; Streptophyta; Magnoliopsida; Solanales; Solanaceae. The record is from RNAcentral.